RNAcentral lists this unclassified non-coding RNA (439 nucleotides) under Hevea brasiliensis (rubber tree). Lineage: Eukaryota; Viridiplantae; Streptophyta; Magnoliopsida; Malpighiales; Euphorbiaceae. The record is from RNAcentral.
GAAUAGCAGGUUAUUUUAUCGACUACUGACAAGACCACAUGUGAGGCCUUUAGUAUGUGUUUAGACAGUAAGAUGAUACUCUAAGGAAAGCAUUUCUCUUAUAAUCUCUUUCCCUCUUCCUUUGAAGGGAUUAAAUUCAUCAAUAUAAGAGAAAUAUGAGGUGACUAUAGAAUCUAUUGCAUCUUUCAUGUGCAUUAGGUGGCUUCUAUAAUGUCGCAUCUUGUCCUGUGUUGUUCCACUGAGAGUAUGAACAAAUGAACAUGAGGCAAAUACUAGAAGAGUGAUAUGCAUCUUGUAAUAUUCUUUAUCAUAAGAAACACAAUACUUUAUCCAUGGGUUUGUUUGGCAUUACUAUUGAAGAAGUUGUUGAGAAAAACACAUGCUUAAAUAUGUUCGUUAGGGAUAUUAAGAACCGGUUUAAAAUUAAAUUUGACAUGUU